GGAGAGGUGGCCGAGUGGUUGAUGGCUCCGGUCUUGAAAACCGGCGUGCCCGAAAGGGUACCGGGGGUUCGAAUCCCUCCCUCUCCGCCA
RNAcentral lists this transfer RNA (90 nucleotides) under Terriglobia bacterium. Its description in RNAcentral is "tRNA-Ser". It matches the Rfam family "tRNA". Rfam says of the family: Transfer RNA (tRNA) molecules are approximately 80 nucleotides in length. RNAcentral also lists the same sequence under 6 other names. The record is from RNAcentral. Lineage: Bacteria; Pseudomonadati; Acidobacteriota; Terriglobia.